GAUUCACUCUGCAGAUCUCCUUGCAGCAGAACGUUCUUCAUUGCUGUUUGUAGGUACCGGACACCAAUAAGUACAGAGAGCUGUAAGGAAAGAUUUUCUAAAUUAAAGAGAAGGAAGGCAUCACAAGAAGCUGACCAGGUGGACGUAAGCAGCAGAACUCUAUGGUCCAGCAUUUAGGAACUAAGUGUGUCUUUCAAAAGAAACAUAAGCUGAAAGGAACCUCAGCAUUUGUGACUGUGCUAGCAUGGCAGAAUAAUUGCCUUCAUUUUAUUCUUUUGUGCCUCCUUUCUCUCUCAUUUUGUUUUUAUUUUCUCUGAGAAAAAAUAUUUUUAACAGAUAUUUCCAAUUACAUAAGGAAGAUCAUUUGCUGUUUCCCACCGAGGAGCAAGUUAGCCAUAAUGCCUCUUCUUUUUAACAUCUAGCUCUUCGCUUUGUGGUCAACCUGCUCCAGGUAACAGAAACAGGAAAACUAAUGUGGAAGAACACAAAUAAUUAACUGAAAACAGAAUUAAGUGUACAAACAGUGUAACUGACAUAGGCAAAAUGAUGUAGAAAAAUGAGGGGAGCCACAGAGGUACAGAAAAGAGGGCCAAAAUGUGGGAAAAAAGAAACUGUACAGAGGAUGGAGAGGAAGGCAAGUUGAUUGUGAAAUGGGGGCUUUUACCUGAACAAACCUAAUGCUCUGUAUGUUUCAGUGAUGUAAACCAAAACAAUAGGACAGCAUCUGAAAUGAUUGAAAUACAAUCGCUUAAGCUAGCUCUUAAGCUUCGCUUUUGAUCUGAAGCAUUUUUUUUAUUUUUUUUUCCUACCAUGUAUGUGAUAAGGUGAUAAAUUUAUUUCUGCUGCAAACAAUAACAGUUCCAGACUUUGGUUAUGUUCCCCUUGCUGUUGUAUUUCCUUGUAGCAAACUGAAUGGAGUUCAAUCUGGAUAUUGCUAAAAGGGGAGAGCUCAGUAACAAAAACUGAGGAAGUAAGAUGUUAACUGUGUUGUAGUUCAAAAUUGUAAUGAAGCAAAAGUUGCUUAUGAGACUACAAAAAGAUUAUUUUUGCCUAACCAAAGCAGUGAUAGGAUUGUACUGCUGUAACCUGCUUCAUCCUUGUACUGCUCCCAUAGAUUGACUCUGGUUUUUGUGAUGUUGUGGCAUUGGUAAUGGAGUGAUGGAGGGAAGAGAAGAGGAUUAUGAAGGAAGGUGAAAAGUUCAGUUCCGUAGAGAUUCUUAUUAAGCCAAGUAUGUCAGUUCUCAACUGCUUUGCCUCUUAAUCUACCAAGUACUAACUGACAUACACUACAAGAUAAAACGAAGAUUUGAUUCCUUCUCCACCUUUGCUAAAUGUUACAAGUUGGACUUUGGUCCUAGUGAUUUCAUACCAAAUGUUUCACUACAAGGUUUUGAAAAUCAUAGUAUAAUUUGCUUAUACAGUACCAACUUUGAUUCUAGCAACUGAGAUGAGGUUAUCUAGUUUAUAUGCAGUAGAAGUUAUGUGCUGUAUUUAUCUUCUUCAUGCAUUGUCUUCUUUCUACAUGGGGGUAGAAAAAUUUACUGUAUUUCCAGAAUGUUGGCAGAGCACAGAUGACUUUGUAGGUGAAAACUGAGUUCAUUUAAGCCAGGAAAAAACAUUACUCUUAGUACAUGGCUCACAGAAAUAAAAGGUAGUAUGUUUUACUUUUAUCCGUACAAUAGGAUACUACUGUAAGUUCCUGCAGGUUAUAUUUGUUGUCUUAUGACUUUUCAGAGUAGAACAAGGAUUUAAAACACCUGGUGAGUCCGUUUGCUUUGUGUCACUAUUGCUCUCUAACAUCUUCCUUUAGAACAUCUCUUCUAAAGCUUGUGUUAUUUCCUUAGCCAACUGCCUAAUGCAUGCUGAUGUCCUCGUUUCAGAGGUCCUGUCCUUUGGUAUAUUUGCAUCUCUGUUUAUAUACUUUGCUAUAAGGCCAUCUUCAAGUUACGAGUUCUGUUAAAAUAAGAUCACUGGCCUUCUUUCAUCUGGCUUUGUUCCCCUGAGUUUUGAGUUCAACAAAGCAGAAUAUUCCUUAAAUGCCAUUUAAACUUUUUGUAUUUAUUUUUCCUAAGAAUGUAUAGCUACCUGGCUCUCAUCAAUGAAGACUUUGUUCAACUUUUGAAGAUGUAUAUUGGAUUAUCUGCUACUUUUUUUCUUAUUUUUGACUGCUACCUUCUAAAAUAUGGUUGUCUAUAGAAAUUAUCACUCUUUGCUUUGAGAAUAUAAUUUCACAAUUGCUGUAUUCUGUGAGACACCAACAUAAGAACAAAUAUCAAGGGUUUUUCUCCUUUUUUACUGCAAGGUACAUGGUGUUGACAGUUUCUCACAUGUGAACAUGUAAAUUUGAACCUGAAUUCUAGUCUAAUAUGUGAAGGGAAAAGAUUUUUCAAUGUUUAGGAUUGAAUGCAUGAUGUAUUGGUAGGAAAUCCUUUUUUUCUCUUACUUUUAACAAUUCCUUAUGACUGAAAUUUUGAGGCAGAUAAUUUGCUACAUUAAAAAAGGAAAGUGUAUCACUGCACUGCAUAGUGUCCCUAAAAAGUUAUCAAAAGAUGACUUUUCAUUAUGCAUGUGGUUAGCAUAUUUAAGGAAUAACAUUGUCAGUCUACAGUUUUGUGAUGAUCCAGCAGAAAUUAUCUGCUUGGCUCUGUGAAGUGUAUGCUAGAAACUCAAAAUGAUUAAAUAUAAGCAGAAGGAUCUUUUUGGCCUGAUCACUUCCAUAUUUGUGUUUUUAGGGGAAACAAGUAGUCUUGAAAAAGUGUUAUUACUGCUAUAACUUACUAGAAAUUUACGUUAAACUACCAGACUGUUUGUAAAUAUGCGUAUGAUUACAUUAUAUCUUGAGGUAGACUUGUUAGCAAUUAUUCAGAUGAAUCUUUGAGAGAAACCUAGCCACAAGUUGUCAUGUAAGGAAGAAAUACUGCUAGGAUUUGGGGCAGAAAAAAAUCAGUCUUACUGUGUUCUCUUUAAUGUCAAUAUGUCUCAAGACCUUUUGACGCUACCGUUUCUGAUCAAU
Molecule: non-coding RNA, 3013 nt
Organism: Meleagris gallopavo (turkey)
Lineage: Eukaryota; Metazoa; Chordata; Aves; Galliformes; Phasianidae
Source: RefSeq, a predicted model, not a curated record